AGCGAACGCUGGCGGCAGGCCUAACACAUGCAAGUCGAACGGAUCCUUCGGGAUUAGUGGCGGACGGGUGAGUAACACGUGGGAACGUGCCCUUUGGUUCGGAACAACUCAGGGAAACUUGAGCUAAUACCGGAUGUGCCCUUCGGGGGAAAGAUUUAUCGCCAUUGGAGCGGCCCGCGUCUGAUUAGCUAGUUGGUGAGGUAACGGCCCACCAAGGCGACGAUCAGUAGCUGGUCUGAGAGGAUGAUCAGCCACACUGGGACUGAGACACGGCCCAGACUCCUGGGGGGGGAGGGAGGGGGGAAUCUGGGGAAUGGGGAAAAAGCCGGACGAAGCCUGGCGGGGAAAAUGAUGAAGGUCUGAGGAUUGAAAAUUUCUUUGGGCGGGGACGAUAAGGACGGUCCCCGAAGAAAAAGCGCCGGCUAACUUCGUG
This 433-nucleotide ribosomal RNA is filed under the name uncultured bacterium. Its description in RNAcentral is "partial 16S ribosomal RNA". It matches the Rfam family "Bacterial small subunit ribosomal RNA", at positions 30 to 507 of the family's 1533-position model. The record is from RNAcentral.